AUUGAACGCUGGCGGCAGGCUUAACACAUGCAAGUCGAGCGGGGUGAUGGUGCUUGCACUAUCACUUAGCGGCGGACGGGUGAGUAAUGCUUAGGAAUCUGCCUAUUAGUGGGGGACAACAUCUCGAAAGGGAUGCUAAUACCGCAUACGUCCUACGGGAGAAAGCAGGGGAUCACCUGUGACCUUGCGCUAAUAGAUGAGCCUAGGUCGGAUUAGCUAGUUGGUGGGGUAACGGCCUACCAAGGCGACGAUCUGUAGCGGGUCUGGGAGGAUGAUCCGCCACACUGGGACGGAGACACGGCCCAGACUGCUACGGGAGGCAGCAGUGGGGAAUAUUGGACAAUGGGGGGAACCCUGAUCCAGCCAUGCCGCGUGUGUGAAGAAGGCCUUAUGGUUGUAAAGCACUUUAAGCGAGGAGGAGGCUCUUUUGGUUAAUACCCAAGAUGAGUGGACGUUACUCGCAGAAUAAGCACCGGCUAACUCUGUGCCAGCAGCCGCAGUAA
RNAcentral lists this ribosomal RNA (503 nucleotides) under uncultured bacterium. Its description in RNAcentral is "partial 16S ribosomal RNA". It matches the Rfam family "Bacterial small subunit ribosomal RNA", at positions 30 to 523 of the family's 1533-position model. The record is from RNAcentral.